RNAcentral lists this small RNA (520 nucleotides) under uncultured Glomus. RNAcentral's name for it is "SSU rRNA". It matches the Rfam family "Eukaryotic small subunit ribosomal RNA", at positions 569 to 1091 of the family's 1831-position model. The record is from RNAcentral. Lineage: Eukaryota; Fungi; Glomeromycota; Glomeromycetes; Glomerales; Glomeraceae.
AGCAGCCGCGGUAAUUCCAGCUCCAAUAGCGUAUAUUAAAGUUGUUGCAGUUAAAAAGCUCGUAGUUGAAUUUCGAGAUCAAAUUGUUGGUCGUGCCUUGGUACGCACUGGCAUUAUUGGUUUCUCCCUUCUGACGAAUCAUGAUGUCAUUAAUUUGGUGUCUUGGGGAAUCAGGACUGUUACUUUGAAAAAAUUAGAGUGUUUAAAGCAGGCUCACGCUUGAAUACAUUAGCAUGGAAUAAUGAAAUAGGACGUUUGAUUCUAUUUUGUUGGUUUCUAGGAUCGACGUAAUGAUUAAUAGGGAUAGUUGGGGGCAUUAGUAUUCAAUUGUCAGAGGUGAAAUUCUUGGAUUUAUUGAAGACUAACUACUGCGAAAGCAUUUGCCAAGGAUGUUUUCAUUAAUCAAGAACGAAAGUUAGGGGAUCGAAGACGAUCAGAUACCGUCGUAGUCUUAACCAUAAACUAUGCCGACUAGGGAUCGGAUGAUGUUAAUUUUUUAAUGACUCAUUCGGCGCCUUAC